RNAcentral lists this long non-coding RNA (231 nucleotides) under Ananas comosus (pineapple). RNAcentral describes it as "long non-coding RNA (ACOM_LNC022662)". Lineage: Eukaryota; Viridiplantae; Streptophyta; Magnoliopsida; Poales; Bromeliaceae. The record is from RNAcentral.
UAUAUUUAUAACUAUCUAUUCUAUCUUAUUUAUUCAAACGCUAUUUUUUUAUUUCCGGAAACAAUCAAAUUUUCAUCCAAACACAAAAUUGGUUUAGUUCUCGCUUAUACCUAAACUUAUACCUAUCUCUGGUAUAAGCUAGUUCUUACUUAUACCUGAACCAAACAAAGUCUUAAUGAACUUGCUUAUUUGUUUGAUAUAGUCCUUCGUAUGCCCAUCAUGAAUAUAAAA